Molecule: non-coding RNA, 24 nt
Filed under: Arabidopsis thaliana (thale cress)
Lineage: Eukaryota; Viridiplantae; Streptophyta; Magnoliopsida; Brassicales; Brassicaceae
Source: RNAcentral
CAACGACCGUGAUGUAUUCCUUGG